Arabidopsis lyrata subsp. lyrata is the source of this 526-nucleotide long non-coding RNA. RefSeq lists it as uncharacterized. The record is from RefSeq and is a predicted model, not a curated record. NCBI's taxonomy places the organism in Eukaryota, Viridiplantae, Streptophyta, Magnoliopsida, Brassicales, Brassicaceae. The transcript has 3 exons.
AAAAAAAAAAAACAGAAAGCCGAAAAUGGAAAAGGUUAUCUGCAAUUGAAAAUUUGAAAGUUAAUUCUAAAAGAUGAUGACACAGUUCUUAUUUCUCCCAUUCCUCCGAUCAGAUCCAAUGUCUGCCGAUUUAAGCCCCAUUUCGCUCUCUCACCAGCUUCUUCGUCUCUCCGAUUACGAUUCCUCUGAGUCUCAGAUCGCGUACGGCUUAAACAAGCCUUGGCCAUCUCUUAAAACAUGGAUCUCUCUUGAUAUCAUUUUAGGAGGAAGCUGAUUACCAGUUUACAGUCACAGCAUAUAACUGGGCUAUAGCGUAUCUUGUGAUGAAUAGCACGACCGGUGAUUCCCACUUUGAGUUGCUCAUAAUGGGAGAGUUACACAAACUAAGGCAUGACAUAAGUGAUAAGCCUGAUUGCUACAGUUUAGCAGUGUUUUUGCCAUCUCUUGCUUACCGUUCUUGGCAUUGUGAACAAACUGUUAACAUUUGUGAUCAAGUUGGUUAUAUGGGACAAACAUUCAACCUUCA